Oncorhynchus kisutch (coho salmon) is the source of this 3492-nucleotide RNA transcript. It is a transcript of the gene named protein FAM161A, with no coding region annotated. The transcript has 4 exons. NCBI's taxonomy places the organism in Eukaryota, Metazoa, Chordata, Actinopteri, Salmoniformes, Salmonidae. The record is from RefSeq and is a predicted model, not a curated record.
UCGCUCUCUUUCUCUCUCUCACACACACACACAACUAAAAAUGUGUCUAAAAACAGAUUUACAACCACAAUUCCUUAGGCUACCAGUUUCAGUCGAGAGAAAUAGCACAUAUGCCAUUUAGCAGAUACUUUUAUCAAAAGCAACUUCGUCAUGGGCAUACAUUUUACAUUUGGGUGGCCCUGGGAAUUGAAGCCACAAGCCUAGCAAUGCUAACAUCAUGCUCUUCCAACCAAGUCGCACAGAACCGCAAUGACGUAGGCGACCAAGUACAUGUAUUGUCUUCAGAAAGUAUUCACACCCGUUGACUUUUUCCACAUUUUGUGCGUUACAGCCUGAAUUUAAAAUGGAUCAAAUUGCGAUGUAUUUUGUCACUGGACCACACACCAAUGUUAAAGAGGAAUUCUAUUUUUCAUUUUUUUUGUAAAGGACUGGGGAGUUUUUCAGGAUAAAAAAAAUGAACAGAAUGGAGCUAAACAUAGGCAAAAUACUAGAGGAAAACCUUGUUCAGUCUGCUUUCCACCAGAAACUGGGAGAUUAAUUCAACUUUCAGCAGGUCAAAUCUACACCGGAGUCGCUUACCAAGAAGACAGCGAAUGUGUCCGAGUUACAAUUUUGACUUAAAUCCGCUUGAAAAUCGAUGGCAAUACUUGAAAAUGGUUGGUAUCAAUGAUCAAACGCCAAUUUGACAGAGCUUGAAGAAUAAUGGGCAGAAGACAGAAAAAUGUACUGCUGUAAUAGCUGCCAAUGGUGAUUUUAACAUGUACUCAGAGGUGUGAAUAAUUAUGUAAAUGAAUAUUCAAUACAAAUUUUAAAAAGAAUCUAAAAACAUGGUUUCACUUUGUCAUUAUGGGGUGUUGUGUGUAGAUGGGAUUGUGUGUAAUGUGGAUUUUUAACAUUUUGAAGUCAGGCUGUAACACAACAAAAUGUGGAAUACGUCAAGGGAUAUGAAUCAUUUCUGAAGGCACUGUAACAUAAACAGACAAACAGAUUAGGGGCAGACGACAUUAAUUGGAAUUUGAUGCAAAUUGGAAAAAGUCCAAUGCUUUCACCAUUGACUGGAGGCUUUCACGGAUAUGUUCGAUUUUACUGUAGAAUUCUCUUGUAAUGGUACAAAUUAUGUGAUAGCUAAAAAGCAAUUAAAUCUUGUGUCCCUUGUGACAUAACGAGUUCUUAAAUUAAUAACAGGCGGUGUUCCGUGUGUUCUAUUUCUCAGAAUUCUUGUUCCAAACGGGAGAAUGGGGUCAUAAGAAGUGGCCUCUGUUCUGGGAAUAAUUUUGUAAAAAAUGUGGGGCGCACAUCGUAAUUCGGUCAUUUUAAAUGGUUGUAUAAAUUCGCCAGUUAACCAGAAGUGUAAUCAAUGCGCAGGGCCUCAAAAUGUAAAGCCUAACAAAUCGCAUUUUGUGACUUUGAAGACCCGCAGCUUUGUUGAUUGGAGCUGUUUGAAGGUAGGCGGCUUGGGCAGUUGGAGCGCAGUGCCCACCACCAACUCCAUGUCGACUUCGUUUAACUAAUUGGCAUAAAUGGCAGGUCCACAUUAUUAAUGAAUUCAUCUGGCUAUUGUUAAUAUAUAACACUAUCAAUUGUCUGAUACAGUGAAUUAGAGAAAUAGAGGGACAAAUAGAGAAAAUGUAACCAGGCAACUGGAUCAAUAAUAAAUCAACUUUAUUGCAUGGAAAACUAUGGGAUGGAUUCAAUCCGUAUUACUGUAGAUCCGUAAUUUCUGAUUGAGCCGACAUGUGCAGCGUGUACCAUGAAUGCAGUCUCUGCGACUGCGGGACCAUUGCCUUUAAUUGUCAAUCGCGCUAAAAAGCGGAUAUUCAGUGCUACGGAAUGAAUAGAGCCCAUACUUUCUUCCAAGGUUUCAGAGCUCUCAUGUUGUUGUUUUUUCAGCCUGUCUACAUACCUUUGAAGUGCAUUACAGUUGAAAUUGUCACCACACCCUUGGACAGUAAAUGUGAGGAAGGAGUAAGGAGCGGCAAUGAAAAGGGGCACAAAGAGUCAGCGACCUCGGUGACAUGUGAGAAUGAGGAGGACAUGGAUGAAGGGUUUACAGGGACUCUGCUACCUGCGAGAGAUGCUCCUUCGUGGAUGUGGGAGGGCUUCUCCAUAGAUGACUACAACCCAAAACCCCAACCCCAAGGUCCCCAACCAAAGAUCAUCACACCCAAACUGAAGGAAGAUAAGAGAUGCCUACCCAAAGUGACCGUGCCGCAGCCUUUCAAGAUGACCCUGCGUGAGGAGAGCGAGGGGCAGCUUAGGAAGGCCUGGGAGGAGACUGCCAACAAGCCCACAGCCACGCUGCCUCGAUUCAAAGCGAACCCUGUUCCCAAGAGCAACCAGUUGCCCUUGUAUGAUAAGAUCGUAGAGGAGUGUGAGAGGCAGAGAAAGGUUCUCUAUGAGAAACGGAGAGAUCUCAUGCUGGCCAUGCAACAGCCCUUUAACUUGGGGUCAAAGGUUGCACAUGGUUCUGCCAAGAGGAUGGCUGUAGCUGAGGGUGAUGGAGAUGGAACAGCAGCCAAGGAGGGAGACGAGGGACCAAAGCCGGAGAGUUCAGUUCCUGUCCGCUCCUAUAAGGACAUACUGAAAAGAUGUGCCCAGCUGGCUACUCGUCAUCCCCCUCCAAUGAGAGUGGAGAAGAAGCUCACUUUCCAACCCGUUAUCAACCGGACUAUACCUGACUUUGGGAGGUUGCACCACAGGUUUGAGGACCGUCUCAGGAGUGUCAGACAGGGAAUGCAUUCCACUGUGCCACAGCCUUUUAGUUUCCAGGUGAACGCUGGAGGGGAUCAGACUGUCAGUACGUCUAAGGAAACUCAAAAGCAUGGCAAGAAGGACCCAUGCCCCGUGGUGAAGUGGGAGCUAGCUAGAAUUCUGGCCAGCUCACAAAGACUUACCAAGUCUGCACUGCUACGAGAGGAGGCUGCGAAGAAGAGACUAGUAACGAGAGAGAAGAGACUGAGAGCAGAGCAGCAGAAGUCAGAAGCUGGCUGUAGUCUUCAGAAAAAAGUGGCCAAGUGGCUCAAUGCCCAGAAACAGCGCAGUACUGCCAGGGCACAGCGGCAACAACAGAACUACAGGUAUACCUCUUAAGACCAUGGAGGGGAGCUCUCAGAAUAUUACUACUCAGCCCUCCCUUUGUGUAACUUAGGAAGGAGAUGAAGGUGCGUAGUGCUGAGUAUCAAUCUGAGCUGGCAGACAUGAUGGAGAGAGUGAACAGUAGACCACUGCUGCUCCAGCGCCACUGGCAGACCCGGAGAGAGGCAGACAAGCGUUUCUCCCUGAUCCUGGAGCGGGCUGGGCUGGACGAAGCUCUGCUGUGGAGCAAGGCUAUGCUCCAGGAACAGGGCCAGCGUUUACAGCUGGAGGCCACAGAGGAAGCCUAGGAGGGCACUGAUACUGAUCUCCAUGAGGAGCUUGCAGACUCCUCUGAGGGACGAACCCUGACAAAGACAUGUUUUUACUAGUGUAUUAAAUUACAAGUGUUUGAUCACA